GAUGUUAUUCACCGGCUUGUAAAGAAAUUUCCCAUCAAAAGAUCUCCAAUGAGACUUCGACUUACUGUUGGUGAGCAGAAUUUUUCCACUGUAUUGGAGAAGAUAGGCACUUGGAAUGGUGAGAUUGUGACUAUGGAUGAAUCUGGAACUCAAUUUUCACUUGUUUGUGAAGUUGAUCCAGGUUUAUAUCGAUAAUGCAAUUGGUUGGUGAGAGACUUACAGGGGACGCUGGAACUGGUAGCACCUUCUGUUCAUGCAGGGGAAGCUGCUUGUAUAUGAACCAUCCAUUCUUGUGAAUAGCACUUUUCAGGGAUCGAGUCGAUUGGAAUUAGAAAGUCAACACGGCCGUAAUUAAGGUUUGUAAUGCAUGAUCUAAAGGGAGCUAAGUGGCCGGAUUAGAGAAAUUUGUUAGACUAGCUCUCUAGCCUUUUGUCUUUAUUUGUUAAUAUUAGUUUUAAUUUGUUAGACUAGCUAGCUAGGUGUUUAAAAAUUGUAAACGUACGUACUAUACGCUUUUCUCUAUUGGGUUAAUAUAAAUGAAGUUAAUUUAAUGAUUUAUUAAUAAAAAAUAAGCAGAUUCAUACC
Molecule: long non-coding RNA, 585 nt
Organism: Spinacia oleracea (spinach)
Lineage: Eukaryota; Viridiplantae; Streptophyta; Magnoliopsida; Caryophyllales; Amaranthaceae
Exons: 3
Source: RefSeq, a predicted model, not a curated record